Molecule: unclassified non-coding RNA, 220 nt
Filed under: Hevea brasiliensis (rubber tree)
Lineage: Eukaryota; Viridiplantae; Streptophyta; Magnoliopsida; Malpighiales; Euphorbiaceae
Source: RNAcentral
CACCACCUCCACCUCCACCCCCUUUUGGACUAGGUGUCACUGGGACAUCAUCAUCCCCACCACCAUUGCCUCCACCUCUGCCUCCUGCACCUCCUCCGCCACUGCCUCCACCUCCACCGCCAUUUGGACUAGGGACAUAAUCAUCCCCACCACCGUUGCCACCACCUCCACUGCCUCCACCUCUGCCGCCUCCACCUUCGCCGCCACUGCCUCCACCUCU